Molecule: ribosomal RNA, 479 nt
Filed under: uncultured bacterium
Lineage: Bacteria
Description: partial 16S ribosomal RNA
Rfam family: Bacterial small subunit ribosomal RNA
Source: RNAcentral
GACGAACGCUGGCGGCGUGCUUAACACAUGCAAGUCGAGCGAUGAAGCACCUUCGGGUGUGAAUUAGCGGCGAACGGGUGAGGAACACGUGAGAAAUCUGCCUUCAACACUGGGAUAACUCCGGGAAACCGGGGCUAAUACCGGAUAUGAAACUUGCGGGCAUCUGCGGGUCUGGGAAGAUUUUCGGUUGGAGAUGAUCUGGCGGCCUAUCAGCUUGUUGGUGAGGUAGUGGCUCACCAAGGCGACGACGGGUAGCAGGCCUGAGAGGGCGACCGGCCACACUGGGACUGAGACACGGCCCAGACUACUACGGGAGGCAGCAGUGGGGAAUAUUAGGCAAUGGAGGAAACUCUGACCCAGCGACGCCGCGUGCGGGAUGAAGGCCUUCGGGUUGUAAACCGCUUUCAGCAGGGAAGAAGCGAAAGUGACGGUACCUGCAGAAGAAGCACCGGCUAACUAUGUGCCAGCAGCCGCAGUAA